CCUUAUGUCCCUAACAAUGCUUCAGUUCUGGUCUGACCGCCGUGCGGUGCGAACUGGCUUGUCACGCCAUCUGUGAAGUUACCUCUUAACGAAACCCCGUCGGCAUGGAGCCCGCUUCCGUUGAAGAGCAGCGCGUCGUAAUCAAGUUUCUCUCGAAACUCGGCAAGAAUGGCCGUGAAAUUUUUGCCGAUCUAAUUCGAUAAGACAUCCGGGGAACCACGAACAAAAAAAUCAAGAAAAUCCCGCUCAAAUGUCAAGACAAUGUUGAUUGUUUUUUUCGAUGUUCGGGGGAUUGUCCAUCAAGAAUUCGUCCCUCCAGGCCAGACAGUUGAUGGAAAAUUCUACGUCGAUGUGCUCAGACGCCUCAAAGCUCGUGUGGCACGAGUUCGUCCAGAAUUGGCGCGAGAGGGGCGUUGGAUUCUUCACCACGACAAUGCCCCUGCCCACACCUCUCUUGUUGUCCGUGAGUUUUUGAGUAAAAAUUCCAUUACGGUGACCGAACACCCCCCUAUUCGCCGGAUUUGGCCCCGUGUGACUUCUUCUUGUUCCCAAAAACCAAAUUGGUACUUCGGGGGCGGCAUUUGGGGGACAUAAAUGAGAUAAAAAAAGCUACGACGGGGCAGCUGAGAAACCUACAACCAGAGGACUUUCAAGGAGCCUUCUCACAGUGGAAACGGCGUUGGCACAAGUGCAUUAUGUCACAGGGGGAGUACUUUGAAGGGGAUAAAAUUGAUUUACCUGAAUAAUUGUAAAAUAAAAUUUUUAAAAAACUUUUAUACGUACUUUCCGGACAAACCUCGUAGAUCAUAUUUUGAGCAAUAUCGAAAAUGCCCAAGCAACAGUGUUACCUCUACAUUUGUCCGAUCAUGACACAGCACAAUUACUAACUUUACCUGUACAUGAAAACGACAUUAAUCUAUAUUCACACUAUAUUUAUAGAAAGGAUUAUUGUCAUGAUAAUAUAUUAAAAUUCAAAGAAUGUUUAAAUAGUACAAAGUGGUCAGAAAUAUAUAUGGAAACAGAUCUAAACAAAGCAUUUGAUAAUUUUCAUGAACUACUGUGUUUGUUCUACAAUUUAUGCUUUCCUAUGAAAAAAAUUAAAGUAAUGAAUAGCAACAAAAGUAAGCAAAAUUGGAUAAGCAAAGGUCUUAAAUGUAGCUGUAAACAUAAGAGAUCAUUGCGAUUUAAAUAUUAUAAAAAUAAAACACUAUUAAAUAAAAAAAAGUACACAACAUAUUCUAAUAUAUUAAAAAAAUGCAUUGACCACUCAAAGAAAAAUACAAACAUGAAAUAUAUUAACAACAGCAAGAACAAGUGUAGAGCAACAUGGUCGGUAAUUAAAAAUGAAACUGGUAACACUAAAAGACCCUAUAAUAACAUUACAAAACUCAAUAUAAAUAAUAAAAUGAUAUCAAAUCCUCUUGACGUAGCGACUGCUUUUAAUGAUUACUUCAUUGAGCUAACAAAUACAUCCAAUGGGUCAUCAAAUAGCGCUCAACAAACAACAAAUAUUUGUAAUACAAUAUUCCUUAAACCAGUGACUGAAGAAGAAGUGAAAAAGGAAAUCAUAGACUUAAAUAACACCUCCGCUGAAGGUUACGAUGGCAUAAGUACAAAAAUAAUUAAAAUGUGUAUACCUGAACUAGUUCCCAUCCUGACGCACCUAAUUAACCUUUCAUUUUCUACUGGAACCUUUCCUAAAUUGUUAAAGCUAUCCAUAGUUAAGCCAUUACAUAAAGGUGGUAAAAGGGAAGACCUUAACAACUAUCGACCAAUUACCCUUAUACCUAUCAUAUCAAAGAUUUUUGAGAAAUGUAUGUAUAAAAGAUUGGUAGACUUUUGUAACAAAUAUAAUAUAAUUAACGAGAAUCAAUUCGGGUUUCAAAAACAAAAAUCGACGACACUUGCUGCUUUUAAUCUAUUAAAUACAGUUUUGAUAAAUAUUAAUGACAAUAAUUUGACUACAGGAUUAUUUCUUGACUUAUCAAAAGCGUUUGACUUUGUUGACCAUAAUCAUUUAUUGCAAAAACUAGAUGUACUAGGAAUAAGAGGAACUGCGCUAAACUGGAUAACCUCAUAUCUAACCCACCGAAGUCAAUGUGUACUCUUGGAAGAAAUUAGUAAAAAUGACUUAAAGUCUUACACAUCAAAUUACAGAGAGAACAAAUGUGGAGUCCCUCAAGGAAGUGUAUUAGGACCAAUUUUGUUUUUGUUAUAUAUAAAUGACUUGAUUAAAGUGACAAAACAUAAAUGUAUAUUAUUCGCAGAUGAUAUCACCAUAAUUGUGACAUCUAAUAAAAAAUCUGACAAUUCAAUCCAUAAUCAUGAAACAGAUAUAAAUAAUACAAUUGACAGCAUUAUAAAAUGGUUAGAGUGUAAUAAUUUAAAAAUAAAUCUUAAUAAAUCGAAUUAUAUUCAAUUCAAUAAAUCAAAAAAUACAAAACACAACUUCAAACUAAACAUAACUAAAAUUAAAGAGGCAACACAAAUUAAAUUCUUAGGCAUAAUUAUUGACCAAGACUUAAACUGGAAAUUACAUAUAGACAACAUAUGCACUCGAAUAAAUAAAUUUGUAUAUGCACUUAAAAAGUUAAGAAAAGUGACGAAUACCAAAACUACUAUCACUACGUAUCGCGCAUAUAUAGAAUCAAUUCUACGCUAUGGACUGAUAAUGUGGGGUAAUAGUGUAGAGAUAAAAAGAGCAUUUAUUGCCCAAAAAAAGUGCAUUAGGGCUAUAUGUGGCUUUCCGCCUGGUGUAUCAUGCAAACCAUUAUUUAAGAGCCUUGGUUUACUACCACUACCAUCAAUGUAUAUCUAUGAAAUUUGUAAUUUUGUAAUUAAACAUAGAACAUUGUUUAAAAAAGCAAGUGAUAUGAACUAUAGAUUAAAAAGAGAUCCGGACAGACUUGUACUUACCGAAAUACCAAGAUCAGACAAAUAUAAAAGAAACUGCCUUACUAUGUGCGUUCAUAUAUAUAAUAAAAUUCCAAAUGAAUUUAAAGAUUUGAAUGUCACUUUAUUUGGGAAAAGAUUAUAUAACUGGUUAAAGGAACAGAAUUAUUAUGACGUAAAAGAUUUCCUUGGUAGACGUUUUUGACAUUUAGUAUUAACAAAAAUUUUGUAUAUCUAACAAUGAUUGAUAGUAGGAAACUUAAUUUGCAUGCUAUAUGAUUUUAGCAAGACAUGUGCACUCUCAAAUAUAAUUAUAACAUCACUGUAUACCAUGUUUAAAGCAAAUAAAUAUUAUUAUUAUUAUUAUUAAUGCUUUUAGCAUUAAGUCCGCCAUGUACACAUAUUUGUACUAAUGAAUAAAUAAAUAAAUAAGUCACUUUAAAUUACGGUUAAAACCACGUGGAGGUCGACCUGACUAUAUUGCUAGCAAUCGGACUGGUAGUAGUCCCCAUUACUAACGAUCUCAUUCAUUCUCGAUUCAUUUAUUUAUUAUGAUAUAACAAUGUACAGCAUAUAACGCUAACAAAGAAUGAUCCAAAUAGAACGAAAUCGGAAAUACUUAAAUGACUUGAACAUUAUCUAGUUAAUUAGUAUAAUGUUGUCCUUUCAUUUAAAAAGCAGCGAUUAUGGUUAUCGAAACAAACACAAUUCUUAGAAUAACUUUAAAUAGGGUAAUGGCUAUUAGGUUGGCCAAUACUCAAGCGAGGUCCAGCGGAAAUUUGUUAAUUCUUUUAUUAAACGAUGUACGCUGGUGGGGCACCAGUGAGGGAUGAUAGGCGAGAAUAAAUUCAACACGAUAGUUUCUAGCGGGGACCAAGUGGAGGUCGGCCUGACAGGGGUAUAUUGCUAACAAUGGGUCUGGUAGUCUGCAUUUACUAACAAUCCCUUUUCCCCCCAAAAAGGCAGCUUAGUUAGCCGACCGUGAUGAAUAAACUUGGAAUUCAGCACGAUUGUUUUCAGGGGGGACCACGUGGAGGUCGAUCUGACAGGGUAUAUUGCUAGCAAGGCGACUGGUAGUCCGCAUUACUGACGACCCCCAUCUCACCUCUAGGAGUCAAGAGUCUAUGCAUUUUACCUCCCUUCAUUUAUAAAAACUUAAAUUUUCUAUAAACCUAUUUUAGCUAUUAAGUAAUUUGUCACUUUUUUUUAAAUUGAGAAUUUAGUAUAAAAGAAAAAGACAAAACACUUGGCAAUAAAUGUUUUCUAUAUUCUGUUCUAAAAACACAAACCUAUGAGACAUUUGACGUUUUUAUGAAUAAAGAGGCAAGCGUGUAUACCGUUAUUUUAUCCGUAAAACUAAACUAAAAUAAAUUUAUACAUUUUGUCAUUAUAAUUCGAAUAAAAUCUAUUUUAUAUUAUUAUUAAGAAAAUGGAAUAAAUAAAUUUCAGUAGUAUUUGUCGUUUUUUAAGGAAGCUUUUUUUUAAUUAUUAUUAUUAUAUUAACCGUUAACCGUCCACUGUUGGACAUAAGCCUCCCCCCAUAAGGCUGGUUAUGCCAGUAGUUGCCAGAAGGAAACAUCUUUACUUGGAGGGAAAGGGAUUGUUAGUAAUGGAGACUAAAAAUCCCAUUGCUAGCAAUAUACCCAACCAGGUCGACCUCCUCGUGGUUCCCCCUGGAAACUAUCAUGGUUAAUUCCUGAUGAAUUCAUCAUGAUGGGCUAACCGGCCUGUUUUCAUUCUCAUCGAUCACCCUUCACUGGUGCUCCGCCAGCGUAUCCCGUUAGCGCAAGCGGGGUUGCCAUUCCAUUUUCAUCCACCAAAAAAAAAUCUUUACUUUGGAUUAAUUGCGUAUAUUUAUUAUAUUAACAGGUUUGGGAUUAUGAAUGUAGGUAUUUAUCAUUUAAUAGUUUUAUUUACACCUCGUGAAAAAUUUACUGUAAUUGAUAUAUUAAUUAGUAGUAAUGACAAACCGAUCACAUCUGGUUCAAUAAAAAAAAAUAUGACGAUAAAAUGACGUUUGAGGCUUUGUAUAUAGAGGCAAGGUCAAUGACAGAGAAGCCGUAUCUACUCGUAAUUUGUUUUGACAGUCUAUUAAUGUUUUAUAUAGUACAAACAAAUAAUUAAUAACUUGUUUCAAAUUUUAAUUCCAAAUAAUUUAUUUGCCAGAGGGAGACUUUGUACAAAAGUCGGUUGCUUGGGUACCUCUGUCCUAUUUGUGUUUCAACCGUGAAGCAGUUGUGUUUGCAUGGCUGUGUUUCGGUUUGAAGGGUCGGAUAUGGCAAUGAAUUUACUGGGUACAGAGGAAUAACACCCGAGUCCUCAGGAAUGGCAACGCAUGAGGGGUAUCAUGGGCGAAAGAGUAUACUCUGUUAUGUCCAUGGUACUGCUCAUGUCUAUAGGCGACGGUUACCACUUCCCAUCAGGUGGGCCGUCAGUUUGUUUGCCAUUCUAAUUUGUAAAAAAAAAAUUGCAAGAAACAGAUACUGGUUAUUUGUUUAGAAUUAUUUUGUUUAAUCCCACUAGCAUUAGUACGUGUGUGGCGGCUAACACUCGAAGAUUGGUUACCACUAUUACUACCAGAAGUUCCACAAUCUUCUUUUAAGUAUGUUUCGUCAUAUCCAAUGGCGUGUAAAUCCUUGUAGAAUUAGCAGUCAUCGAAAUACAUAAGCUUCCUUAUUCAUAAAAUCUAAAAUCUGCUACGAGUCAAUUUUAACUAUUACAUUGUGUUGUCACUUUCUUUCAAAUUCUAUAUUUAGCGUAAAAGAAAGAGAUAAAAUAGUUUAAUAGAUGAAAUAGAUUUAUGACUUUUUUUUAUGAAUAAGGGGGGUAAUUAUACAGUCGCGUUAGAAUCUUGAUACGUAAACUUACAUACCUAUUACGUAAAUACUAAUAUUGGAUUGCAUUAUUUUAGAUAGUGUUUCUAUGAUAAUUGCAACAUAGUUUUUACUAAUGCAGUUAUUUACGAAUUAAAUUGUUUUUGUAACUGACUUUUUCGUAAAUUUUAAAUAAAUUCAUAAAUUUCAACAAAGCUUGAUUACCUUUUUUAUCUUAUACGUUUCAGUAAUUAAAGAGUAUUUUUUAUACAACUUGACUUAGAACUUAGAAGAACUUAGUUUCGUUAAUUUAGUAAAUAUUACCUAUACUCUUUAAAAUGAUGCUUACCCUAGCCGUGUUGUAAGGUAGAAUGACGGGUUGCAUCGUGCAUCGUUGUUCGUAUUCUUGGCUCGGCCAGUGCUAAAUGCGACGGGCUACCAGAUACUCGUAUUAGGAUUUAUUCCUUGAAUAUUUAGAAAGUAUUUUAUACUGUAUUUAAUUGUGUUAUCGGUGGACUCGUAGUUUUGCACGUCCAAGUCCAAUCUAACCAAGUCGAAGGAGAAGGUGUCGGACGAGGCCGAGGAGAAGCUACUGGAUAAAGAGGAGGAGGCGAAGAUAGUGACGCGCGUCGACAUGGCCGAUGC
Molecule: RNA transcript, 6350 nt
Organism: Galleria mellonella (greater wax moth)
Lineage: Eukaryota; Metazoa; Arthropoda; Insecta; Lepidoptera; Pyralidae
Gene: CD98hc
Exons: 2
Source: RefSeq, a predicted model, not a curated record